GACGAACGCUGGCGGCGUGCUUAACACAUGCAAGUCGAACGGAAAGGCCCUGCUUUUGUGGGGUGCUCGAGUGGCGAACGGGUGAGUAACACGUGAGUCACCUGCCCUUGACUUGGGGAUAACUUCAGGAAACUGGGGCUAAUACCGGAUAGGAGCUCCUGCUGCAUGGGGGGGGUUGGAAAGUUUCGGCGGUUGGGGAUGGACUCGCGGCUUAUCAGCUUGUUGGUGGGGUAGUGGCUUACCAAGGCUUUGACGGGUAGCCGGCCUGAGAGGGUGACCGGCCACAUUGGGACUGAGAUACGGCCCAGACUCCUACGGGAGGCAGCAGUGGGGAAUAUUGCACAAUGGGCGGAAGCCUGAUGCAGCAACGCCGCGUGCGGGAUGACGGCCUUCGGGUUGUAAACCGCUUUCGCCUGUGACGAAGCGUGAGUGACGGUAAUGGGUAAAGAAGCACCGGCUAACUACGUG
RNAcentral lists this ribosomal RNA (468 nucleotides) under uncultured bacterium. Its description in RNAcentral is "partial 16S ribosomal RNA". It matches the Rfam family "Bacterial small subunit ribosomal RNA", at positions 28 to 507 of the family's 1533-position model. The record is from RNAcentral.